RNAcentral lists this transfer RNA (70 nucleotides) under Saccharothrix syringae. It matches the Rfam family "tRNA". From Rfam's summary of the family: Transfer RNA (tRNA) molecules are approximately 80 nucleotides in length. Their secondary structure includes four short double-helical elements and three loops (D, anti-codon, and T loops). Further hydrogen bonds mediate the characteristic L-shaped molecular structure. tRNAs have two regions of fundamental functional importance: the anti-codon, which is responsible for specific mRNA codon recognition, and the 3' end, to which the tRNAs corresponding amino acid is attached (by aminoacyl-tRNA synthetases). tRNAs cope with the degeneracy of the genetic code in two manners: having more than one tRNA (with a specific anti-codon) for a particular amino acid; and 'wobble' base-pairing, i.e. permitting non-standard base-pairing at the 3rd anti-codon position. The record is from Rfam by way of RNAcentral. Lineage: Bacteria; Bacillati; Actinomycetota; Actinomycetes; Pseudonocardiales; Pseudonocardiaceae.
CGUCCCGUAGCUCAGCAGGAAGAGCGCCCGCGCAGGCGGGAGGUCCCGGGUUCGACUCCCGGCGGGACGG